Molecule: non-coding RNA, 73 nt
Organism: Caenorhabditis elegans
Lineage: Eukaryota; Metazoa; Nematoda; Chromadorea; Rhabditida; Rhabditidae
Source: Ensembl
UUUUCGAAAUAUUGCCCGAAUGGCGCAGUGGGAUUUUUCAUAUCUACCAAUCUCAAGACCAGGGUUCGAGUCC